This 72-nucleotide transfer RNA is filed under the name Dasypus novemcinctus (nine-banded armadillo). RNAcentral describes it as "tRNA-Val (CAC) (tRNA-Val-CAC-19-1)". It matches the Rfam family "tRNA". From Rfam's summary of the family: Transfer RNA (tRNA) molecules are approximately 80 nucleotides in length. Their secondary structure includes four short double-helical elements and three loops (D, anti-codon, and T loops). Further hydrogen bonds mediate the characteristic L-shaped molecular structure. tRNAs have two regions of fundamental functional importance: the anti-codon, which is responsible for specific mRNA codon recognition, and the 3' end, to which the tRNAs corresponding amino acid is attached (by aminoacyl-tRNA synthetases). tRNAs cope with the degeneracy of the genetic code in two manners: having more than one tRNA (with a specific anti-codon) for a particular amino acid; and 'wobble' base-pairing, i.e. permitting non-standard base-pairing at the 3rd anti-codon position. Lineage: Eukaryota; Metazoa; Chordata; Mammalia; Cingulata; Dasypodidae. The record is from RNAcentral.
GGAGGUGUAGCCCAGUGGUUGAGUGCCUGCUUCACAUGUAUGUGGUCCUGGGUUCAAUCCCCAGUACCUCCU